UAAAAAGAGGUUCCUAGCCGAAACCCUCUAUAAAAAACUAGACGAGU
RNAcentral lists this non-coding RNA (47 nucleotides) under Staphylococcus capitis. RNAcentral's name for it is "PreQ1". It matches the Rfam family "PreQ1 (pre queuosine) riboswitch aptamer". From Rfam's summary of the family: This family is a bacterial riboswitch that binds to the metabolite preQ1, an intermediate in the biosynthesis of the modified nucleoside queuosine from GTP. One example of this riboswitch is located in the leader of the Bacillus subtilis ykvJKLM (queCDEF) operon which encodes four genes necessary for queuosine production. Lineage: Bacteria; Bacillati; Bacillota; Bacilli; Caryophanales; Staphylococcaceae. The record is from RNAcentral.